GGGCCCGCACAAGCGGUGGAGUAUGUGGUUUAAUUCGAUGCAACGCGAAGAACCUUACCAGGGUUUGACAUCCUGCGAAUCUCUUGGAAACGAGAGAGUGCCUUCGGGAACGCAGUGACAGGUGGUGCAUGGCUGUCGUCAGCUCGUGUCGUGAGAUGUUGGGUUAAGUCCCGCAACGAGCGCAACCCACGUCUUUAGUUGCCAGCAUUUAGUUGGGCACUCUAGAGAGACUGCCGGUGAUAAACCGGAGGAAGGUGUGGAUGACGUCAAGUCAUCAUGCCCCUUACAUCCUGGGCUACACACGUACUACAAUGCUACGGACAAAGGGCAGCAAACUCGCGAGAGCUAGCAAAUCCCAUAAACCGUGGCUCAGUUCAGAUCGUAGGCUGCAACUCGCCUACGUG
RNAcentral lists this ribosomal RNA (404 nucleotides) under uncultured bacterium. RNAcentral's name for it is "bacterial SSU rRNA". It matches the Rfam family "Bacterial small subunit ribosomal RNA", at positions 917 to 1322 of the family's 1533-position model. The record is from RNAcentral.